This 830-nucleotide long non-coding RNA is filed under the name Piliocolobus tephrosceles (Ugandan red Colobus). RNAcentral describes it as "lncRNA (ENSPTEG00000001854.1)". Lineage: Eukaryota; Metazoa; Chordata; Mammalia; Primates; Cercopithecidae. The record is from RNAcentral.
UGACACUAACAAUAGUAAAACAAAAAAAAAAAAAAAAAAUGAAUAAGGAAAAUAAGAGAAAAAAGAAAGCAAUGAAGAACACUGUUUUUAAUGUUUGGAAUAUUUUUUAACAAAAUUCAAUAACAACGACUGCCUACAAGUUCAUAAAUCAGCAAUAAGUGACUAUAAAUAUGAUGAACAAAAAAUAGUUAUAUUUUUUUUAAGGAUCUUAAAAAACAAAACAACAAAAAAAAAAAAAUACUAGAUUUCAUAUGUUGUUUUUUAAUUUUUUAAUUUUUUUUUUUUUUUUUUUUUUUUUUUUUUUUUUGUAAAUGUUAAGAUAAGAUGAAUUUAUAUGACGCGUUAGGAAAUGCAGCUAUCAGUGAAGAUAAUAAAGAAGGAUUUAAGCAAUUAAUUUUAAAAAGUGAAAGCUUUAUUGACGAAGUGCUUAAUGAACAACUUAAAGAAAGACAAGAUAAAAGAGAUGAAAUUCUACAACAUAUUUUUGAUAUGGAAAUUUUAAUGGAAAACAUUAAAUUAUUUAUUAGCAUGAAAGACCAGCAAGAAAUAGAAACACUUACCUUGUUAGGGUGUGAUAGUUACGUUUAUGCAGACAUACUAGAUAAAAACAAAAUUUUUAUACAUAUAGGUUAUGAAUUUUACUUAGAAAUGACUCUAGAAAAUGCCGUAGACUUCUUAAAAAAGAAAAUAAAUCUUUACGAAAAGUAAAAAAAAAAUAUAUAUAAAACCUAGUUAUGUAUAUAUAUAUAUAUAUAUAUAUGUUUAUAUUUAAAUAUAUGUGUAUAUAAGUAACAAAUAAAAAUUAAACUUUUAUGAACUAAAUAAAUUCC